Molecule: ribosomal RNA, 616 nt
Filed under: Streptomyces sp.
Lineage: Bacteria; Bacillati; Actinomycetota; Actinomycetes; Kitasatosporales; Streptomycetaceae
Description: bacterial SSU rRNA
Rfam family: Bacterial small subunit ribosomal RNA
Source: RNAcentral
GUCCAUCCUCAACGCGACGACGGGUAGCCGGCCUGAGAGGGCGACCGGCCACACUGGGACUGAGACACGGCCCAGACUCCUACGGGAGGCAGCAGUGGGGAAUAUUGCACAAUGGGCGAAAGCCUGAUGCAGCGACGCCGCGUGAGGGAUGACGGCCUUCGGGUUGUAAACCUCUUUCAGCAGGGAAGAAGCGAAAGUGACGGUACCUGCAGAAGAAGCGCCGGCUAACUACGUGCCAGCAGCCGCGGUAAUACGUAGGGCGCAAGCGUUGUCCGGAAUUAUUGGGCGUAAAGAGCUCGUAGGCGGCUUGUCACGUCGGUUGUGAAAGCCCGGGGCUUAACCCCGGGUCUGCAGUCGAUACGGGCAGGCUAGAGUUCGGUAGGGGAGAUCGGAAUUCCUGGUGUAGCGGUGAAAUGCGCAGAUAUCAGGAGGAACACCGGUGGCGAAGGCGGAUCUCUGGGCCGAUACUGACGCUGAGGAGCGAAAGCGUGGGGAGCGAACAGGAUUAGAUACCCUGGUAGUCCACGCCGUAAACGGUGGGCACUAGGUGUGGGCAACAUUCCACGUUGUCCGUGCCGCAGCUAACGCAUUAAGUGCCCCGCCUGGGGAGUACGGA